Gavialis gangeticus (Gharial) is the source of this 649-nucleotide long non-coding RNA. RefSeq lists it as uncharacterized. NCBI's taxonomy places the organism in Eukaryota, Metazoa, Chordata, Crocodylia, Gavialidae. The record is from RefSeq and is a predicted model, not a curated record. The transcript has 3 exons.
GCUGUCCAGAGAGAGAAAGGAUAAUUUAAUAGCUUUCCUCAAAUCUAACUUUGCUGAAUUGUUUGUUAUCCUUGUUCUGCUAAACUCUCACCUCUGCUAAGUGCAAAAAGACCACUUUCACGCUUUGUCAGUUCAGUUUCAUUAGAAAUGCAAAAUCAGGACCCAGGAAGAAUUGAAGAAUGACACACACAUACACAACCCAGAAAGCUGGAAGCCUUCUUGAUUAGACAUUUCAAAUGGAGUCUGUAAAACCUAAGCAUAAUUAUAUUACAUUAUUCCAGGAUUUUUUAAAAUGAUGAAAUAUGAGGCUAUUCUGCUCUGAAAAGAAAAAAACCAAACAUUGUGGUUUGGACCUUCGAAGUGUUUUCUAAUCCUUAAUGAUAGUUAUUCAAGGAAAUGACUUUUUUUGUGGGUGGGGAACUACCCUUAUAUCUCUCAGGAGCAACUGGCAGAAAAAUAGGAUCAGAUAUUAUUCUCUGUAAUUUCCAUGUAGAUAUUUGAAAAGCAAGAUGAGGCUUGUAGUUCAGAGGAAGUCCCAUCUAGAUUAGAUUACUUUCAGCAUAGUGUGUGAAUUAUAAAAGGAAAUAUACUAAAUACCCAGAUUCCCCCAAGAAACCUGUGGCUUUUGGCUCUUUUCUGUUUUGUUCUU